AUUGUAUUGUUUCUUAUGAC
This 20-nucleotide microRNA is filed under the name Bos taurus (domestic cattle). RNAcentral describes it as "bta-miR-2480". The record is from miRBase by way of RNAcentral. Lineage: Eukaryota; Metazoa; Chordata; Mammalia; Artiodactyla; Bovidae.